This 288-nucleotide ribosomal RNA is filed under the name Blastocystis sp. subtype 5. RNAcentral describes it as "partial small subunit ribosomal RNA". It matches the Rfam family "Eukaryotic small subunit ribosomal RNA", at positions 53 to 348 of the family's 1831-position model. Lineage: Eukaryota; Bigyra; Opalinata; Blastocystidae. The record is from RNAcentral.
GCAUGUGUAAGUAUAAAUAAUUUUACUUUGAAACUGCGAAUGGCUCAUUAUAUCAGUUAUAGUUUAUUAGAAAUACUUUACUACUUGGAUAACCGUAGUAAUUCUAGGGCUAAUACAUGACUAAAUCCUCAACUUCGGAAGAGGUGUGUUUAUUAGUAUGAAAACCAUAUAUCUUCGGAUAUAAUAGUGAGUAAUAAUAACCUUUCGUAUCGUAUGUCGUAAGAUAACGAUAGUUCUUUCAAGUUUCUGCCCUAUCAGCUUUCGAUGGUAGUAUAUGGGACUACCAUG